UCCUCGGAUGCUCAGCUGAAAAGCAUUGUUUGCUGCCUUCUCUUUCACCAGGAAAAUCUGCUGAUUGAUGAGGAACAUAAUUUGAAGCUGAUAGACUUCGGACUCUGUGCAAAGCCAAAGGGAGGUCUUGAUUACCAUCUGAACACCUGCUGUGGAAGCCCAGCUUAUGCAGCACCAGAGCUAAUUCAGGGCAAAGCAUAUAUUGGAUCAGAGGCAGAUAUUUGGAGCAUGGGUGUACUGCUGUAUGCUCUGCUGUGUGGCUUUCUCCCUUUUGAUGAUGACAACGUCAUGGCAGUCUACAGGAGGAUAAUGGUAGGUAUUGAUUGUGCUAGGAGGGACAUGGCUGAGUG
Long non-coding RNA from Cygnus olor (mute swan), 350 nucleotides. RefSeq lists it as uncharacterized. The record is from RefSeq and is a predicted model, not a curated record. The transcript has 3 exons. Lineage: Eukaryota; Metazoa; Chordata; Aves; Anseriformes; Anatidae.